Pelobates cultripes (western spadefoot toad) is the source of this 320-nucleotide non-coding RNA. The record is from the annotation of a GenBank genome assembly. NCBI's taxonomy places the organism in Eukaryota, Metazoa, Chordata, Amphibia, Anura, Pelobatidae.
GUGAUAUUGCAGAAGGUCUUGAUGGUAAGAUAUGUCUUUUUGCUAAUGAUACUAAGAUAUGUAACAGGGUUGCUGUUCCAGGGUUGAUGUUCAAAUGGCAAAUGAUUUAGAUAAACUAGAAAAAUGGUCAGAAUUGUGGCAACUGACAUUUAAUGUGGAUAAGUGCAAGAUAAUGCAUCUUGGACGUAAAAACCCAAGGGCAGAGUACAGAAUAUUUGAUAGAGUCCUAACCUCAACAUAUGAGGAAAGGGAUUUAGGGGUGAUUAUUUCUGAUGACUUAAAGGUAGGCAGACAAUGUAAUAGAGCAGCAGGCAAUGCUA